Long non-coding RNA from Arabidopsis lyrata subsp. lyrata, 1909 nucleotides. RefSeq lists it as uncharacterized. The record is from RefSeq and is a predicted model, not a curated record. The transcript is spliced from 6 exons. Lineage: Eukaryota; Viridiplantae; Streptophyta; Magnoliopsida; Brassicales; Brassicaceae.
GCAAUUAGAAAUUAUAGUACUUGUGUUUUCUAGAUAGAAAUUGGAAAAAGAAGAAGAAGAAGAAAAUAAAAUGUUGAAAGUCGUAGACAAGAUUUUAGGGUUGGUGUCCGCAAUUCAGAGAGAUGGAGAGAAUUUUAAGGUGUGGAGUCUAAGAGCGACGCCAUUGAAUUAUUUAUUCCGUAUCUCUUCUUCUACGCGUUUCGCCACCGCGAUAUAUGGAAGAAGAUCCUACCACUCAUCACUCGCUCAUCACAGCUGGCUGACACAUUUGCAGCUCUACUGUGAGAAGGAAAGGCUUUUCAGAUGAUCAGUUUGAACAGUUGUAGCAAUUCAUCGGCAUUGGUGAUAUUUUGGGUGCUAGUAGCUCGAUGAAGAGAAACUGAGAAAGUUGGAACUUGAAUAAAGUGAUUAAACUCGAUGGAGAAUCUUUUGUUUUUGGGGUUUGUUUACUAACUGUUUGGUCUCUGAACUUUCCAGGGGAGCUUUCUAUAUGUGUGAAUUCUUUUUCAAUUCUCAUCAAAUCUCUCCUUCCACUGCCAGACAGAUAUCAUGGCCUAACUGAUAUUGAUAAAAUGUUACCGCCAACGAUAUGUUGAUAUGAUUGCUAAUCCUGUAGUGGCUGAUGUGUUCCGGAGAAGGGCAAAAGUAGGUUAUCAAACUCUCAUUCGAGCAUCUUUGUGCAUGAUCCCUAAAAAGAAUUCCUUAGCUCACAGUGUAUCAAUUAUAAAAUUGUUGGAGAUAUUAUUGUUUUCUCUUCUUCUUUUUUGUUGUUGUAGAUUGUUUCCCUAGAUACGCAAGACAGUUGAGUCUUUUGGAUAUUUGGAGGUUGAAACUCCACUUCUUCAGGGAGCAGUUGGUAGAGCCGAAGCGAGGCCUUUUUCGUUUCGUAUCAUAACUCACUUGGGAGGGAUCUCUACCUGAGGAUUGCAACUGAGCUUCACUUGAAUAUAAUGCUGGUCAGACACAGCUUCUAUUAUUGUAAUCUCAUGGCGUUCCUCUCAUUCUUCUUUAUCUUGCUUUUUAUCGACUCACCACUUUUGGCUGGAGAUUUACCUCUACCUGAGAUAUAUAUGAAAGAAACAAAGGCAUUUCAACACAUCACAAUCCUGAAUUCACGACCAUAGUGGUACUUCAAGAUAUACCUUCUCCUCAAUCUUCUGCAUCUCCUGUCCUGGCUUUCACAAUCUUGAAUGGUUCCAUAGCAGUUUUAGCUUUGUUUAGAUGUAUGAGGCUUAUUCCGACUACCCAAGCAUGAUGGACAUGGCAGAAUUAAUCGUUACUCAAUGUGGAAUGGCAGUUCAUGGGAAGCUAACAAUUGAUUACCAGGGAACAGAGAUCUGCCUUGAGUGGUCUUGGAGGAGAGAAACCAUGCAUAAUCUCGUUAAAGAGAUAACACUCGUAAUUGUAGCUAUCCUGUUACCCUGAAUCAGGCUGCCAGAAAAGCAGGCUGGCUUCCAGAAAAUGAUGAAACUUAACCUAGAGGUAGCCAUGUUAAGUUUGGUGUAGUCCUUGGAGAAGAUCACAAACAGUUUAGAAGUCGGAGUACAGAUGUAUCCGCCUUAACUGCUUUGCUAGAUGAGGCCAAGACUCGCAGUAAAGCUCUCUUAUUUAGCGUGGUAAGGACAAAGAAUGGACACCCAAGGAGCUGGUGGACCAAACAGCUGAGGCAGUUGGAUUUGGUGCGGUGAAGUGAGUAUCAUCUCUAUUCUGUUGUUGUAUAUGGUGCGGUGAAGUAAGUAUCAUAUGGUGCGGUGAAAUAAGAAUCAGAUUUACUAUCUUCAGUGACUUUUGUAACCAACGCUGCACAAAUGAUAUUUUCAUGCGACAGCUAACUUGCGGUUUUGUUUAAUUGACAUUGACAAUGUAAUGGAAUUUGCCAGCUAGUUUACAUAUUUUCAUUAUGCAGUAA